CCAAUAGCGUAUAUUAAAGUUGGUGUUGCGGGGAAACAGGACUGUUACUUUGAAAAAAUUAAAGUGUUUAAAGCAGGCUAACGCUUGAAUACAUUAGCAUGGAAUAAUGAAAUAGGACGAUCGAUCCUAUUUUGUUGGUUUCUAGGGUUGACGUAAUGAUUAAUAGGGAUAGUUGGGGGCAUUAGUAUUCAAUUGUCAGAGGUGAAAUUCUUGGAUUUAUUGAAGACUAACUACUGCGAAAGCAUUUGCCAAGGAUGUUUUCAUUAAUCAAGAACGAAAGUUAGGGGAUCGAAGACGAUCAGAUACCGUCGUAGUCUUAACCAUAAACUAUGCCGACUAGGGAUCGGAUGAUGUUAAUUUUUUAAUGACUCAUUCGGCGCCUUACG
RNAcentral lists this ribosomal RNA (386 nucleotides) under uncultured Glomeromycotina. RNAcentral describes it as "partial small subunit ribosomal RNA". It matches the Rfam family "Eukaryotic small subunit ribosomal RNA", at positions 708 to 1092 of the family's 1831-position model. Lineage: Eukaryota; Fungi; Glomeromycota. The record is from RNAcentral.